This 598-nucleotide unclassified non-coding RNA is filed under the name Zea mays. Its description in RNAcentral is "misc RNA Zm00001eb362150". Lineage: Eukaryota; Viridiplantae; Streptophyta; Magnoliopsida; Poales; Poaceae. The record is from RNAcentral.
GCUGCGCUUGCCGAAGCCAUAGUCGCCGAGAGGCUGCAGGGUGCGGCGCCAGAGCGCGCGGGGCACCUCGACGAGAGGGUUGGUGUUGGAGCCGUUGUCGGCGUCCGGCGCGGGCGUGACGUCUCCACCGGUGGCUGCCAGCAGCGAGGCGCGGCGGGGCUUGAGGACGGGGAAUCCGGCGCGGUGGGGGUGGCGGGGUGAGACGGAGACGAACUGGGGAGGGAGGAGGAGGGAUUUGGCCAUUGAGGACGGCAUCGGAGAAGUGGCUGCUUGUUCUCGGAUGGAUCCUGCGAAAUCAAAUCAAAAGAGGUUGAGUGGGGUAACUGGAUUUGGAUUUGGACUCAGUCAGUUGCGAAGGGGGUCGUGCCCUGCAAAGCGGAAGCUGGAUUUGGAUUUAGGGGGGACCGGGCGUUGUAAGCCUCCUCACAUUCAGAAGCGCGGAGGAGGAAGGAGAAGAGAUGGCUCAGUUGCGGUGGAGUGGAUGUGCCGCCGUGCCGGCGCUGAGGAAGAAAACGGGCGGGCGGUGCGGCACCGUCUCGCGUCCCGUCCCGUCCGUCGGACUUCCGACCAACCCACCCUACUCAAUCCAAGUUUUUUC